RNAcentral lists this transfer RNA (75 nucleotides) under Clostridium sp. RNAcentral describes it as "tRNA-Arg". It matches the Rfam family "tRNA". From Rfam's summary of the family: Transfer RNA (tRNA) molecules are approximately 80 nucleotides in length. The record is from RNAcentral. RNAcentral also lists the same sequence under 2 other names. Lineage: Bacteria; Bacillati; Bacillota; Clostridia; Eubacteriales; Clostridiaceae.
GUCCCGGUGGUCUAAUGGAUAAGACAGUAGAUUCCGGUUCUACUAAUACGGGUUCGAUUCCUGUCCGGGACACCA